RNAcentral lists this ribosomal RNA (253 nucleotides) under uncultured bacterium. Its description in RNAcentral is "partial 16S ribosomal RNA". It matches the Rfam family "Bacterial small subunit ribosomal RNA", at positions 524 to 776 of the family's 1533-position model. The record is from RNAcentral.
UACGUAGGAUGCAAGCGUUGUCCGGAUUUAUUGGGUUUAAAGGGUGCGAAGGCGGCCUAUUAAGUUAGUGGGGAAAACGUUCGGCUUAACCGUAUACCCGCCAUUGAUAUUGAUAGACUUGAGUGCGUCAGAGGGUGUUGGAAUGUGUGGUGUAGCGGUGAAAUGCUUAGAUAUCACGCAGAACACCAAUUGCGAAGGCAGAUGCCUAUGUCGUAACUGACGCUGAGGCACGAAAGCGUGGGGAGUAAACAGG